This 465-nucleotide ribosomal RNA is filed under the name uncultured Streptococcus sp. Its description in RNAcentral is "bacterial SSU rRNA". It matches the Rfam family "Bacterial small subunit ribosomal RNA", at positions 338 to 795 of the family's 1533-position model. Lineage: Bacteria; Bacillati; Bacillota; Bacilli; Lactobacillales; Streptococcaceae. The record is from RNAcentral.
CCUACGGGAGGCAGCAGUAGGGAAUCUUCGGCAAUGGACGGAAGUCUGACCGAGCACCGCCGCGUGAGUGAAGAAGGUUUUCGGAUCGUAAAGCUCUGUUGUAAGAGAAGAACGAGUGUGAGAGUGGAAAGUUCACACUGUGACGGUAUCUUACCAGAAAGGGACGGCUAACUACGUGCCAGCAGCCGCGGUAAUACGUAGGUCCCGAGCGUUGUCCGGAUUUAUUGGGCGUAAAGCGAGCGCAGGCGGUUAGAUAAGUCUGAAGUUAAAGGCUGUGGCUUAACCAUAGUACGCUUUGGAAACUGUUUAACUUGAGUGCAAGAGGGGAGAGUGGAAUUCCAUGUGUAGCGGUGAAAUGCGUAGAUAUAUGGAGGAACACCGGUGGCGAAAGCGGCUCUCUGGCUUGUAACUGACGCUGAGGCUCGAAAGCGUGGGGAGCAAACAGGAUUAGAUACCCUAGUAGUC